GACCCGCUGAACUUAAGCAUAU
RNAcentral lists this ribosomal RNA (22 nucleotides) under uncultured freshwater diatom. RNAcentral's name for it is "partial 28S ribosomal RNA". The record is from RNAcentral. Lineage: Eukaryota; Bacillariophyta.